This 628-nucleotide small RNA is filed under the name Pongo abelii (Sumatran orangutan). Its description in RNAcentral is "retained intron". The record is from RNAcentral. Lineage: Eukaryota; Metazoa; Chordata; Mammalia; Primates; Hominidae.
UUUGGCCAUGUAGUAACACUGCCUGGGGCAAGUCACUGAACUGUUUGAACACCUCAUCCUCAUUACUACUCCUGAGCUCAGCACCACUCCUCAGGGGGAGCUGCCUCCUAACAGAUGCUGCAGAUGCCGGAUCUGUUUCUUCACAGGUUUGGGCCUGACACCCAGCACUUGGUCCUGAAUGAGAACUGUGCCUCAGUUCACAACCUUCGCAGCCACAAGAUUCAAACCCAGCUCAACCUCAUCCACCCGGACAUCUUCCCCCUGCUCACCAGUUUCCCCUGUAAGGUAGUGUCUCAGACCGGCCCCUUGUCGGCCCAGCUCUCGUCCCCUCUCUUUCUCUCCAUGAAUGUGUUUUGUCUCUUUCAGGAGGUCCCCACCCUCAGUGUGCCCGUGGUUCAGGGUGAAUGCCUCCUCAAGUACCAGCUCCGUCCCAGGAGGGAGUGGCAGAGGGAUGCCAUUAUUACUUGCAAUCCUGAGGAAUUCAUAGUUGAGGCGCUGCAGCUUCCCAACUUCGAGCAGAGCGUGCAGGAGUACAGGAGGAGUGCGCAGGACGGCCCAGCCCUAGCAGAGAAAAGAAGUCAGUACCCAGAAAUCAUCUUCCUUGGAACAGGGUCUGCCAUCCCGAUGA